This 105-nucleotide ribosomal RNA is filed under the name Periophthalmus magnuspinnatus. Lineage: Eukaryota; Metazoa; Chordata; Actinopteri; Gobiiformes; Gobiidae. The record is from RNAcentral.
CUAGGUGGCAAUACCUGCUUGUCAAUGUCCAAUCUUGGAAGCUCAGCAAGGCCAGGCCUUAGUACUUGGAUGGGAGACCACUGGGAAUACCAGCUCCCACAUUGG